CCCUUGGUGAGAAUGAGGAUGGCUAGAGGGCAGGAGAGAGGGGAGCCCACGCAGUGCAGAGCAGGCCCUGCGGGCCAGGAGCCCGCCUGAGUCUGACCUGGACUGGCCUGAGGCUAUUUGAAGUCUUUGUUAGCCCCCUUUCUGAGAGUAUGUGUUCAUUUCACAGUCAAAAUAUACACGUUUAUUAGGGAGAACUGCCCAGCCCCCACCGAGGGGUGUGUGACACAGGACUGAGUGCUCUCUUACCUCCCUGAAGAACCACAAAGUCUGACUCUGUGGCACUUCUCUGUCCCUAAGUUUCCAAUCGGGGACUCAGACCUCUACUACAUGUCCUGUAGCUGCCGGUGCCCUGCGUGGCUAUAGAUAUUUACAUGUGUGGGUGGGUGGAGGACAGUCAAAAAUUACAGACAAAGCUGCUCAAAAGGCCGCAGAACUUUACAAAACUUCGGAUAACUCGGUCCCUGUUCUACGGUUUCCCAAGUGUGUCUUCUACCGGACCUGAAGACUUGUGGCCGUACUUCUCUCCCUGUUCUUUUGUACUGUGGGUACACAUCAACAUCACUUUCUCCCCCAUGUCCUAAGGCCUCUCUAGAACCUUCUCUCUAAGCUAUAGGACUAAGUUAAUGAGAACAGAUUCACAGGCAUGACUUCAUCCUUCCAUCCAAAGUCCUCUGGACUCAGUGGGUUUCUCACUUCUGGGACACUGCAUCCUGUCACCUGCCAUCUCAGCAUCCCCAGGGACACACGUGAAGCUGACAGCUCCUUCAUGUACAUGAGCUCCCACCCUGGAGGCCGGUCACCGAGGGCCUUUGAGGACAAACUGGAGUUUCCAAAGGCCAGAGCUGCAAGCUUCACAGACACAGCUGCAGCCAGGCACCCAGGUGACCAGUUAUCUGCUGCUGCAGCUGGACCAGUUGGACUGUGGUGAUGGCAAAGCCAGGCUUGGCCUUUGCUCCACCACCUGGAGCUUUAGAGCCCACGGUCUCUUCAGAAAUCAGUGGCCGCUCUUCCAAGGACUGGGUUUCGAUGCUUCCCUCAGAGGAAAGAAACCUCCCAAGCUGGAGGGUGAUGCUCUUGAGGGCUCAGCUGCCUUAAGUGCCCAGAAACAGAAGAUUAUCAAAAGAAAACUGCUCUUCAACAAGUGGAGGAUAACAUGCAAUUUCCCCAGCCUUCAGCUGAGGGUACUGAGGUAAUCACAUCGGUGGCUCUUAGAUGCACUUAUGCCUCAUGGCUCUCUAGCUAAGAUUCUAGCUCAAUCUCCCGCUGUCUCUUCUCUUCCUCAUUUGUUCACUCCAACAGCUGAUGCGACCUCUGUCUGGCCUUCCCUCUGUUUUCCAUGGGAGCUGCCACCCUGCCAGGCCCUGCCAGCUCCAUCUCGUUUGCUCUCUGAACUCUGCUGUGUCCCUGCCGCUGCUGUCCUGAUAUUCCCUCUCUGCUUUCAUCUUAGCCACGGGCAAGCCUGAGCCCAUGGUCCUCCUCAUCACAAGAGCAUCAUUGAUGCCGCUGAACACAAGGCACUUUGCCUGAAAUCACACACUUUCUUCAUUUCUUUGCCUUCCCUUCCCAGCUUCCCCAACUCCACUGCCUCUUUCUUCUCAAUGAGUCACUCACACAUGGAUCUUCCUCCUGAGUCAUUUUGGGAAUCUGACCUAGGACAACCCUUAACCGUGGACCUCUCCAUGUGAAGAAGAAGAAGAAGUGUUAAAACUGAGGACAAAGAGCCCAGAUGACAAAAACCAAAUGAGAACCUGGGUCACAGGUGGGAGUGCUGGACUGGCCUGGAGCCAGCUUUCUCCUCGGCCCACAUGUGCAGGCCUGUGCUAAUGUGCAUGGGGCUUCCAGGGACUCAGCAUCCUCACCUCAGGGCCUCAUUGGAGCUGGCAUUAACACUGCCCUGUAAUAAGCACCUGGUGAAAAUUUAAUUAAGAUCAGUGCCUUGACCUCCCACCUGGCGAUUCUCAUUUAAAUUGUCAGGAGUGGGGUUUGGGCUUCAGUAGAUUUCAAAAGCUCCCCAGGGAUUCUAACAUGCAGCUAGACGUGACAAGGACCAUUCCUCUACGAUGAUCUCAGGUUCAGGAUAGAAAUGCCCAGAAUGUGUGGCUGCUUCAUUAAAAACCCUGAAUAUCCAUCAGCCAUUGAGGGGAUUUGUAUGCCUCUCUCAACAGCACUCUUUGUACAACGUGGAAAAAAGUGAGAAGAUAAAAGAGGUAGAUGAAUGGAUUAGACUUCUGACCUCCCUUCUUUGAGGAGAGUUUC
Equus quagga is the source of this 2256-nucleotide long non-coding RNA. RefSeq lists it as uncharacterized. The transcript is spliced from 3 exons. Lineage: Eukaryota; Metazoa; Chordata; Mammalia; Perissodactyla; Equidae. The record is from RefSeq and is a predicted model, not a curated record.